Long non-coding RNA from Sorghum bicolor (sorghum), 6707 nucleotides. RefSeq lists it as uncharacterized. The transcript has 3 exons. Lineage: Eukaryota; Viridiplantae; Streptophyta; Magnoliopsida; Poales; Poaceae. The record is from RefSeq and is a predicted model, not a curated record.
GCCUCUCCUUCCCCUCGACUCUUCCUCUCCUCUCUCUCUUCGUUCCCUCCUUCCUCCUCCCGACGCCAGCAGGGGCGACGGCAACGACGCCGACCAACAGCGGAGCGGCACGCCGCAGCCACCCUCCUCCUCCUCCUCCUCCUCCUCCUCUCUAUCUCGCCUGACUUCCCAGUGUGGCGGCAGGAGCCGCGGCCAGCUCGUCCGGCUGGCCCGAGGCAGCGUACCGGCACCUCCACCGCUCCCUUCCCCACCCUCGUGUCCUCUCCCUUCCUCUCUCUCCCCGCGACCAUGACUGUGUCUGGCCUGAGGAAACCCUAGGUGCCAUGGGGGCCUCCGAUCUGGUCGCAGCGAACCGACCAGGCCCUGCUGGUGGCCGCCGACGUGGUUGCGCGCCCUCCCUCGCCGGUGGAAACCAGAAGCUUCUCUCUUCCUCCGUCCUCUUCCCGAUGUUGCCACCAGGGGCGACCAAGACGGCGAUGGGCGCGAGGCGCGGCAUGGCGGAUGGCCACCCCCUCUCUCUCCCCCUCUGUUCCCCUCACGGGUGAGUCCGCACCGGCAGCCCCCUCCUCCUCCGUUCCCCUCGCAGGUGAGUCCCGACAAUCUCUUCUCUUUCCCUCCCUCUCUCCCGAUGCGGCAGGGGGCGGCGCGAGCAGCCCUCCAGCUGCAUGCGCAUAGGCGUGGCUGAGCCCCGUGGUGGCCAGCUCCGUAUGUCAGCCGCGGCCGCAUGGCCCCCCUCCUUCCCCUGCUCAGGCGGGUCAGCGGUGCAGCACAGCGUGGCGCCUGCGGGUACCGCUGGUGGGCGCAGGUGCGGCCUGCUCUCACCUGUCCACCGGUGUGGCUUCUUGUGGUCGGGUCCUCAUCUCUUUGCCAUGGCUCCUAAUGAUAAAGGCACCAGGUAGCCUUACUCUGAAUCUGAUUUAGCCUUUCCAUAUGUAUAUUCUCUGUGUAUCAUACAUAUUUGUUCUCAAGAUAUAUUUACCUGAUAUAUUGUAACUUCUAAUUAAAUUUGUCAUGCUAUAUCGAGUUCUAUUUUAAUUCGCAGCCUUUCCAUAUGUAUAUUCUCUGUGUAUCAUACAUAUUUGUUUUCAAGAUAUAUUUACCUGAUAUAUUGUAACUUCUAAUUAAAUUUGUCAUGCUAUAUCGAGUUCUAUUUUAAUUCGCAGACAGCUAGGAGAUAUCGAAGGUCGUUUGGUUUCCAAAUUGGUGGCUGUGUUAUAUUGCCUAUUUCACCGAAUUGUCCUGUUUAGACCACCUCAUUGUAUAGUUCGUAUUUGUGUUAACUAAUUAGGUUUACUAUAUUGGGGUUCUUUUUUUGUUUGGAUAAUCUUGCACAUUGUUGAGCUAAUUACUGAACUCAACAGAAACAUGUCCGAGAAGGAGUUCAAGAUAUGGUUACAGCUAAGUUACUCUUAUUACGAACAUGUUGUUUGCUUCUAAUUGUUUACCAUUAUACUAUGCUCGCAGAUUAGUUUGGGUUCUAAUUAUGCAUGCUCAGUUGCUUCAUGUUGUCUCUGUUGUUUCUUGCCUUCUUGAAGAGACUCACUAUCUCUAAGCAGAUUUACAUUACAACGGAUUAUGAGUCAGAACCCCUAAAAACAAAUUUAUUACUAUGCUAGUUUCUCAAUAUCUACUGCCUUUGAGUGCUGAAAAAAAUAUCCUAGUUACAUUGCAAUGGAUUAUGAGUCAGAGCCCCUACAAAGAAAUUUAUUGCUAUGCGGGUUUCUCACAUAUUUUAUCUACUGCCUUUGAGUGCUGAAAAAAUGUCCCGGUCCUACAUUGCUGAUUUUUUGAUUUAUAUUAGGUAUGCGAAGAAUUACAUGAACAAUAUUUGGAAUUAUGCAGAGGUGCAUGUAUAAGUAUGCAGAUUUGCAUUUACAAAAAUGAGUAGCUGUGCUUUUUGUUAUUUGCAUUAUGCUAACUUUUUAGAUAACAAAUGAGCUUUUGUCGAAAUAUUUCUCAGGGCAUAUGGGUUCUUGGAGAGUGUGCUAUCCAACAUGAUCUUCCUAGGAUAUUCUGAAGGAAAUAGGUGAGUUUAGAACUUUGUUUUGGGCCUUAAUCGCUUUUUAGUAGUGAGUACAUGACUGUAGGUACCAUCUUAAUCCACAUGAAUAGUUGAUACAGGAUGCUUAUUACCUUUUUCUAUCUCAUGUGCUAAUGAAGUGCCUGAUGCUUAUUUAGUUCGUGAUGAUUUUUCGUUUCCUUGUCUUCAAACUAUCAUGGCUGAAUGUUUUGAGCUUGAUCUGCUACUUUUUCAAGAGAAAUGUUAGAAUUGUAUACUAUGGAGCAAUAUCGUUGUUGUUGAUUGUUUACUGCCUUAGUUCAUCCAGAGAACUAUUAGUAUUUUUCCUAAAUUAGUUGCUGAGAUAACUUCUUACACGAAUGGUAUUUGCUCCAUGUUUAGAAUAAGUUUUUGUUGUUCCUAAGAAUAUUCAUGAGCUUAAAUGUAACAUUGUUUUUUUCUUCACUACCAUUUGUGAUGCCAUUAUUUUCAAAGCCCCCUGUGUUCAAACCUUGGCAUACCUGAAUGGUUGCUUUUUAAUUAGUUACUGGGACCUGAAUGAUGCCAGUAGUCGAUUUUAGAUGGAAACUCUGCCUGUAGUGUGUGAUGUGUGUAUCUUUUUUUGUUCUUACAUGAUUUUUUAUUGCUGUUCUGAUCUGUCUACAAUUGAGGUACAAUGCAUAGAUGUAUAUGCACUUUCUAUAGUCUACAUUGCAUCUGAAUUUUAUGUGCUCAAGUUGAAUCAAUAGAAUUGCAGGAUCGUUACAUGAGUACGUACUUCCUAGUUUCUUAUACGUGUUACAACUUAUAAGAGCAUAAUUAUUGUUUCUUGAAUAGCUGGUGUGUUGUGCUAAGACAUAGCUGGCCUCUUAUGCUGCCAACUCUUCAAACUAUUAAUGAGUUUGCCAUUGGUCCAAUGGAAAUUCCUGGAUGCUCUAAAACAACUCUUAUUUUUUGUCUCUUCGAGUUAGUCUAUGUGCUUUAUGUAAGAUGGUUUUUACUAUUAUUGUUAAUGGUAUAUUAUGAGUGCUUAGGUUAUAUUGACUAUGACAGUUCAUUCCAGUUUAGUUAAAAAUGUCAAAUAUAUUUGCUACUAUUGCUAGAGAUGAAGCUUGCAGAUAAUAUCUAGCUUACAUCCUCGAUUGUAAAAUAGAUAUGGAGGAGUACUUAUCGCAGCAAGACUAUGUCACCCAAAGGAAAUACUCUAUUUUCCCUGCCUUCAUUCAGAUGCUACCUAAAAUCAGUUGCAAAUCAUUAUGGUUCUAUGGCUUGACAGAAUAUGGCUAUAUUUUUACAAUUUCACCACCUAAUAUUGUUUAUUAAAAGUUUGUGCAACUUCAGACCUUUUAAAUGGCCACUCAGUUUCUAUAUGUGCAAGUUAUUACAAAAAUAUAGGCAUCAGAGAGGUAAUCAAUUAAUUUACAUAUUACUUGGAAUUUAUUGUAUACCUGAAACAGCUGGUUAUUAGUUUACAUUUUUUUAGUCUUAUGUCCUGAGGUUUAGGCAACCUGACAACUUCUAAAUGCUCACUGCUUUUGAUCUCAUGGUGUGUGCCUUGUGGUGGUUCAGUCAUGGUGCUGGCUAGCAGUGCCUAUCUUUGAAAUUGAUUGGCAAACUGCAAGUGAUGGUCAAGGAGUCUAAGUGCAUCAUGCAGCUGAAAGAAGGUACAUAUUUUAUUUGUUUUCAUAUUAGGCGAGAUACAUAGUUACCAAUUGCAGUUAUGAGUUUCUCAUUAUAUAUUGCUUACAAAUUUGUUGCUACAGGCAACUUUGGUCCAUGUAGUCGCGCAUUGACAACUCAUUUUAAGUUCCAACAAAAACAAAAACUCUAAAUCAACAAACAUUUUUUUCCAUAUAUAUGAGUAUUGGCCUAUUACUUUGUUUUCGUUGAGGAUCUUUUAUCUUUCUUGUGUUGACCUUGAUCAAUUUACUAACAUUACUGGAAUCACUAGGUUUAGAUUUCCCAGCCAAAUCAAGGCUACCAUCGAUAGUUAUUCUCUUCCAAAUUGCCAUGCCAUAUUUUUCUCUUUUGCGAAUUUAUCUAUGCAUUAUUACACCAAAGUUGUAGUACUCUUCCCUUCUCCUGGUUUGGGUAAUGCAAAUUAGAGAACGCAGUGAUGAGAGAGAGUUUGUUUACCUGUAGCACAUUAGUAGAGUGCCUAACAGUAUUAAGCAAUUUAGAAAUGCUAAAAAGUCUGCAAGGAUUAGCUUCUGUAUAUGUACCCAUUCUUUGAUGGUGUGUCAGAUAUUUGAUAACUUUUGUACAGCAGCUAAGAUGGAUCCUUUAUUAGAAUACAAUAUAAUGAACAAAUAGUAAAUAUAUUUUUUCUUUCCGAUCACCUGGUUUCCAUGGCUCCAUUUUCUUAUGAACAAAUAGUAAAUACAUUUUUUAAGAUGAAUGCUCUUUAUCACUUCAUGUCCCUUUAGCUAGCUCGUUGGUCACAUGUAAUUUUGAAUGUUGAUCCUCUUUCUUGAUUUGUGCAAUAUAAUUAUUCCAUGAAUUGCCAUGAUUUUGUACCAUCCACAACACCUGCUAUUUCUUUGUUCGUGGUCAAAAUUUAUAGCAUAUAUUCUACUGGUAAAAAUGCAUAGUCAGAUAUUUUUUAAAUAGCUGACCUUAUUAUUAUGAGUGAUCUGAUGGUGUGUGAGAGAUUUUGUACCUUUUCCACGCUAGCUAAAAUGGACUUAUUUUUUGUUUAGUGGAUUUACCCUAAUAACGCCCAGAAAUUUUUUACCGGUCCACCUCGGUGACAUGUCAUCUUCGGCUUUUCUUAUUAUUGGUCCACCUCUGCACAGGUAAUUCGCUUGGCCGUGCUUUUUCCAUGUUGUCUAAAAAACUCCGCCCACAUGUCACUCCCCCAUCGUUACUCCACCUUGCUGAACACCUCUUCCAAUGUUCUCAGCAUUUGCCAUUUCCCGUUUCCCCUCUCUUCAGCCUAUGACCAAAAUUUUAUAUUUUUUGCUCAAUGAUAUAAUCUGAUGCUCAUCCGCUUGUGAGGUACUUAGCAUGGCUGUCACUUAUAUUAUGUGAUUUUUAGGGUAAAUCGUUUGUCAGCAUGCCUUGAAGCUCCAAGUUGAUUAACAAAUGAUGAUUGCUAUGCUUCUGAGUUCUCUAAAAAUUCAGUUUUUAUUCAUAAAGAUUCUUGCCUUCUUUAUUGGUGAAGCAUACUUUCGUUGUCAUUGUUAUUUCACAGAACUGUUGUCAGGAAGUGAUAACUAAGAAGGAUGAUGUUGCCAAAGAGCUUCACGAGCUUAUCACCCUAUAUGGUGUGAGUUUGCAUUUACCCUAACAAGCCGUAGGCACUCGCCGGGCAGCCAGAGGGGUCAUGUUGCCCCAAUAUUUCUUACUGCUCCACGCCGACAUGUCACCUUCACGUUUUCUUAUUAGUCCACCUUUGCUCAGCUCAUCUGCUUGGCCGUGGUUUGUCCAUGUUGCCAAAAAAAUUCGUCCACAUGCCGCUCCCCAAUCGCCGCUCCGCCCCUUCUGAACGCCUCUUCCAAUGUUCUGAGCAUUUGCUAUUUGCUAUUUUCCCCCUCUUCAGCCUGUGAUGAAAAUUUCAUAUCUAUUUCUCAAUGAUAUGAUCUGAUGUUCAGCCUCUUGUGAGGUACUUGGCAUGGCUGUUGCUUAUAUCAUGUGAUUUUAAAGGUUAAACCGGUUCACAGCAUGCCUUGAAGCUCCAAGUAGAUGAACAAAUGAUGAUUGCUAUGCUUCUAAGGCCUCUAAAAAUCAUGUCUUUGUUCAGAAAAAGAUUUUUGCCAUCUUCAUUGCUGCAGCAUACUUUUGUUGUCAUUGUUAAUUCACAGUCUUUUUUGAAUUCCCUGGUAGUGUCAUUAACUUUGUAAUACCAAUAUUGCCUAUUCAUGAUCUAUCUCUGUAUAGUAUCUCAUUUAUCAACUUUGUGGACAUCGGUUCCAAUGUGAUUUGGGGGCUCUUGUUGUAGUGGUAACUUUUUUAACCAAAAAAAAUGCUCAUCAUGUCUGUUUAAGGUUGUGCGAUGUUGUCGUUCAAAAGUUACAUAUUACAUUUGUUACGUAAAUAAUAGUUUGUUGCCUACUUCAGAUUUGUGAUGUACGAACUGUAGCAAGAUAUGUUUCAUCAGUCCAAACUUCACCCAUGAAAGGCAACAUUCAAGUGCCUUUUAAUCUUAAAUUGGAGCCUUCUUAGUAACCUAAGCUUGCUUAGUUCAAUAGUCAGUGUACAGUGCCAGGCUGCCAGCUGUCGAUUUCUUCCUGCUGCUCAAUAUCUUCAUAGGCACUUUGUUUAUAUAGAUUCACGAUUUUGGAUGGACCAUAUGGUGUUGCUGCUUGUUGGCACCCUGCUCGGAUAUCUUGCAUGGCAUCGCCCAUAUUGGUCAUGCGUCAAUCUAUUUUCUUCAACAACAAGACAUCGAGCGAUUGUCACCGGUACACAACUCAAGCGAACAUGAAUGUGAAUGUGAAUUCAACCGCAGCAUGAAUUACUGAUCAUCGUCGCGUCCAACCUGAAGACCAGCAAAAAUCCAACCUGAAGACCAGCAAAAAAUAACCAUCCUUACAAGCAUGUCUGCCGCUCUCAUGUACUAUAGUAGUUCGACACUGCCAAAACCUAUUGUAAUAUCGGGUCUGCGCCCUACUAAUCUUGCACAAUGUACCUAUCAACUACUCACGAUUAUUACUGAAGUUUGUGAUAAUAUGUAUAUAUAUACAACCAGCUCUCUUUUCCUGCGUUA